RNAcentral lists this ribosomal RNA (314 nucleotides) under uncultured bacterium. RNAcentral's name for it is "bacterial SSU rRNA". It matches the Rfam family "Bacterial small subunit ribosomal RNA", at positions 28 to 342 of the family's 1533-position model. The record is from RNAcentral.
GACGAACGCUGGCGGCGUGCCUAACACAUGCAAGUCGAACGGGACCGGGGGCAACUUCGGUUCAGUGGCGGACGGGUGCGUAACACGUGAGGAACAUGACCUUCGGCGGGGGAGUAGCCGGCCCAACGGCCGGGUAAUACCGCGUACGACCAUUUGGGACGAUCCCUGGGUGGUGAAAGCAGCAAUGCGCCGAUGGAGUGCCUCGCGGCCUAUCAGCUAGUUGGUGGGGUAACGGCUCACCAAGGCAACGACGGGUAGCUGGUCUGAGAGGAUGGCCAGCCACAUUGGGACUGAGACACGGCCCAGACUCCUAC